This 110-nucleotide small RNA is filed under the name Epilithonimonas xixisoli. RNAcentral describes it as "Chryseobacterium xixisoli Flavo-1 RNA". Lineage: Bacteria; Pseudomonadati; Bacteroidota; Flavobacteriia; Flavobacteriales; Weeksellaceae. The record is from RNAcentral.
AAAAAACCGCAGCCCGACUUGAGCGGAAAUCCUUUUUUGCUUGUACUCAAUUUCUAUUUAAUUAAGAAAAGUUCUGCAAAAAAGAUUGGGAGCGGAAGGCGGAAAAGCUG